RNAcentral lists this long non-coding RNA (571 nucleotides) under Prunus persica (peach). Its description in RNAcentral is "long non-coding RNA (PPER_LNC002218)". The record is from RNAcentral. Lineage: Eukaryota; Viridiplantae; Streptophyta; Magnoliopsida; Rosales; Rosaceae.
UUACUAUUAAAUCCUUUAAUAACUCUAUUAAAAAUGAUAACAUGGCACAACUGAGACCCACUAUUUUGCUAAAAUACAUACCACAUAAGUGCUAUGUGUGCAAAAACAUAAUAAAAUAUUUUAUUUAAAAAAAUAAUGAUUUAAGAUAAACAAUAAAUAAUAAAAAUACUGUUUUUAAAUUUUUAUUGUUUAAUGAAAAAAAAAAUUCAAUAAGCCAAUUCCCACCUAAAGAUCGCCCCUCCUUCUACGUCAAAACCCAAUAGUCACCACCAUCACUCCCAAGCAAGACACAGCCACCUCUCCUGAACUUCUUCCACUCACAGCCACCCCCACCUCCAACAACCACCUACAUGUAUCCACCGACCAACUUCAUCUUCAUCGUAGACAAAGAGGAGUGCCAAAACCCAAACAUGAUAGGUGUGCGGACUCGUACUCACUAAUGAAGGCAUGCUCCAGCUUUUCUUCUCCUAAACUUGGCUUAGCAUUUUUAACCUAAUGGGCUUAAUGGUAAAGGGUAAAGUGAGACACAAAACAUCAGUCAAGGAUCAAGGUGAGUCACUUUGAGUUUCAG